GAUGAACGCUGGCGGCGUGCUUAAUACAUGCAAGUCGGGCGAACAGAUAAGGAGCUUGCUCCUUUGACGUUAGCGGCGGACGGGUGAGUAACACGUGGAAAACCUACCUAUAAGACUGGUAUAACUUCGGGAAACCGGAGCAAAUACCGGAGAACAUAUUGCAGCACAUGGGUGGAUAGUGAAAUUCGGCGUUGCGGGCACGUAUAGAUGGAUCUGGGCUGUUUUAGGUAGUGGGUAAGGUAACGGGUUACCAAGGCAACGAGACGUAGGCGACGUGAGGGGGUGAUAGGCCACACUGGAGCGGGGACAGGGUCAAGAGUCCUAAGGGAGGCAGCAGUAGGGAAUGUUACGCAAUGGGGGAAAACCUGGCGCAGCAAGGCGGCGUGAGAGAUGGAGGUCUUCGGAUCGUAAAAAUCUGUUAUCAGGGAAAAACAAAUGUGUAAGUAACUGUGGACAUCUUGACGGUAACUGGUCAGAAAGCCACGGCUAACUACGUG
This 497-nucleotide ribosomal RNA is filed under the name uncultured bacterium. RNAcentral describes it as "partial 16S ribosomal RNA". It matches the Rfam family "Bacterial small subunit ribosomal RNA", at positions 28 to 507 of the family's 1533-position model. The record is from RNAcentral.